Molecule: long non-coding RNA, 490 nt
Organism: Mus caroli (Ryukyu mouse)
Lineage: Eukaryota; Metazoa; Chordata; Mammalia; Rodentia; Muridae
Source: RefSeq, a predicted model, not a curated record
UCUGGAACUGGCAAGAAAUGGCCAAUGAGAGAGCACACUGCUGGGGAUGGCAGAAAAAUCAAAUCAUGAUGAAGAGGAGACAGACAUACAGGAGGCAUAAAGUGACCUGCUGCUUCUGGGCUGUCCCUGCCCAGACAGGAGAGGUCCUGGAUUCCAGGCCUCCAACUGCUGCCAGUAAAGAACCCUCAGACUGCCUCUUCCUGGAGCCCCAGAGCCAUGAUGACCACUGUGAGAAGCCCCAGCACUGCCCAUGUGGAUGACGGGACAUUGUGGGAAGGUUGACCAGCAGCUGGUUUCUGUCCACUGCGCCGGUUUAUGUUAAUUGCAGAUAUUUUCAUCGUAUUGUGUUACUCCAUCCAUCUUUGUGAACGGGCCGUCUUGUAAAAUUCUUUUAAUUAUGUUAUUUUUUCUUGCCUAUCUUCAUCAUCUACAAUUAUUUAUAAUAUCAUUGUCCUUGUUUCAAAUGCUGGGAAUAAACAUUGUUGUAACA